UGCCAGCAGCCGCGGUAAUACAGAGGGUGCGAGCGUUAAUCGGAAUUACUGGGCGUAAAGCGUGCGUAGGUUGGAAUAUCAGUCAGGUGUGAAAAGCCAGAGCUUACCGUUGGUCGGUCGCUCGAUACUGUAUUUCUAGAGUCUUGGAGAGGAUAGGGGAAUUUCCGGUGUAGCGGUGAAAUGCGUAGAUAUCGGAAGGAACACCAGUUGCGAAGGCGCCUAUCUGGCCAUAGACUGACACUGAGGCACGAAAGCGUGGGUAGCGAACAGGAUUAGAUA
RNAcentral lists this ribosomal RNA (279 nucleotides) under uncultured bacterium. RNAcentral describes it as "partial 16S ribosomal RNA". It matches the Rfam family "Bacterial small subunit ribosomal RNA", at positions 506 to 784 of the family's 1533-position model. The record is from RNAcentral.